RNAcentral lists this ribosomal RNA (1560 nucleotides) under Triticum aestivum (bread wheat). RNAcentral describes it as "partial small subunit ribosomal RNA". Lineage: Eukaryota; Viridiplantae; Streptophyta; Magnoliopsida; Poales; Poaceae. The record is from RNAcentral.
AUGGCAUCUCUCGCAUGGUCAGCGUCUCCGUCUCCGUCAACGCAACGGCGGGAUGCUCUGCUCGUUGCUCAAGUAGUCGGUGGGAUCCACGGCCGCCUUCACCGCCGCCAGCCGCCGGUAGUUGCCCACGAAGUAGCGCUCGCCCCACACCUCGCCGCUCUCCGGCGUGCCAUCGUUCUGGCCGAUGUCCAGGUCCCGGAAGUUGACGUACGCCCGCCUAGGGUUCUUGCUCACGUGCUGUCCCAUGAAGUCGUACAGGCCGCCGAUCCAGGCCGUCGCCGCCGUGCCGUCGCCUCCCUGCUGCCAGAACGCGAUGUACUGGAUGACGUACAGCACGCCGUGCCGGUGCGGGUAGGGCGUCGCCGCGGCGGGGACGCUGCCCAUGAACCCGCCGUGGGGCUCCAGCAAGAUGAACCCGGCGCCGUCCAUGGUGAACCAGGAGAAGAUCUCCUCCCACGCGGCCUUGGGGAUGGCGCGCUGGACGUAGUCGGACUUGAUCUUCCCGGCGCUGCUCUGCCCGGCGGUCCUGCUCAGCAGCGCCUCCUCCAGCGUGCCGUUCCUGCCGAAGCUGAUGAAGGGUGUGGCCGCCGACUGCAGCCAGGUCAUCGGCUGGCAGUCGGCGCUCGUCAUGCCCAGCUCCGGGAACUGGUCGCCCAUCGUCGCCACCAGCGAGUCGCAUGCCCCGAGGUACAGGGCCUGGAACAUGGCCUGCUGCCCUUGCACGAUCACCCUUAUGGUGAGGUCGCUGGGGAGAACCGGCGCGACGUGCUGCCAUCUGGCGAGGAUGCCCACGGCGCCCUCGUCGACCGUCUUCGCGAUGUUGAACACCGCCACCGUCGGCGGGACCUGCACCAGCUGGAUCUUCCACGAGAGCACGAUGCCGAAGUUCCCGCCGCCGCCGCCCCGGAUGGCCCAGAAGAGGUCCUCCCCCAUGUCAGCCCUGUCAAGCAGAUCGCCGUCGGCGUUGACCAGCUUGGCAUCGAGGACCUUGUCCGCAGAGAGGCCGUGCUUGCGCAUCAUCAUGCCGAUGGCGCCGCCGCUGAAGUGGCCGCCCACGCCGAUGGUGGCGCACUCGCCGGCCGGGAACGCGAUCCGGGAGUCGUUCUUGGCGAUGGCGUAGUAGAGCUCCCCGAUGGUGGCGCCGGAGUCGACCCAGGCCGUGGACUCGAGCCGGUUGACGCGCACGGCCCGGAGGUUGGCGCCGAGGUCGACCACCGCGAACACCUCGGAAGGCCGCACGGACCGGUACGAGAGGCCCUCGUAGUCGUGCCCGCCGCUGCGUACGCGGAGGCGCACGCCAUGCCCGCGGCCGCAGAGCACGGCGGCCUGGACGUGGGAGGCGUCGGCGGGCGUGACGAUGCAGAGCGGCCUCGCCGUGGCGUUGGUGAGGAACUUGGUGUUCCUGAUGGUGGAGGCCAGCACAUCGGUGAAGUUGGUGGAGCUCUGCGUGUACACGAGCUCGCUGGGUAUCUUGGCGCUCAGCAGGCACCGGAGGAAACCAUCAGCUGGAGAAGCAACGGAGCACGAGAAGAAGAAGCUCAGAGAGAAGGCGAGUGCUAA